AAUUGAACACCACAGUAGGAACUGUGUGAUGAAUCUUGAUGCCCUAGAAAUAUAGCAACCUACUGUUUGCUGAUGGGAACAAUGAGCAUACAGAUUCUAGCAACUUUCCAGCCAUACGAGUGGGUUGGCCUUUGAGGGGUCACUUUCACAAGCCAUACUUACAGUUGCACUACUUUGGUGGUGCUAAUUUAAAGUUGAAGCUAGAUAACAAACGACUGUAGGGCUUACAUAUAUAUAUAUAUAUACAUUAAAUAAAACCUUUUGAUGAUUACUGCAUAACACAAAAUAGGAAGAUCCCCACCAAGUUGCCCCUAACGGAUUGAUGUAGCAUAGUUCUGAUAUGAAUGAGUCAAACAAAUUCUCAAGCGGCAGAUGCCAGUCUUAAGAUUUUUCACCUGAAAUAAACAUGUGGAUGAAACCAUUGAAGUAUAAGCUCUUUUCCUUAGAACAGCAUGUCAUAUGAAAUACGAAUGAAGCAUAGUAAACACGCUGUCGUGUCGAAUAGAAUAAUUGCAUCUGAUCAUUAUUAUCUGGCUUGGCUCUUUACAGGUCAGGUGUUCGUAAAUUUUUGUACCAGAUGCUUGGCAUUCAGAUACAGAAUACUGGAAGCAGUGAGCAACGUUAAAUGUAUAAUUGGUUCUAAUGAAAUUAGUAGAGACGUCCUGAAGAGAUCACAAGAACAGGAUCUCGAGUCACUCAACUUGGCGGAUAAGAAUCAGAGUCCAGAAACUAUUAUACUUAAGUUUCACACAGUCAUCCUCCUUAUCCUAUGUUAUACACACGUCACAUCAAACAAUACAGCCCACCCUUUCAAUCAUAGUCAAAAGGAUAUGUCCUUGAAAUAAUUUAUCAUCGCUUCACCUGACAUAACUUGCAUUAUGUACCAAAGGCUACAGGAGCUGCUUUACAAAAGAAGGAAGCAAUACAUGUCCUAUAACAUUUUGACUACCGGCCUAAAUAAUGCUGGAUGUGAUAUGGUGCAAGCUGCGAACGAUGACAGUGACUGUUCAAUAUAAUAGAAUAACAAUCCACUCACAUCAAUGUCGUUAGUCAGCAUCUCAGAAAGAGUUCUAAAUGUUAGGAGUUACUCAGUACCAUUCUUAAUUGUAUUAGCACUGAUUUGCAGAUCUACCUAAAGCAUUGAAAACAAUGAUAUAUCUCUAAGACUAUAUAAUAGAACUCGCACCCGUUUCUGGAUAUUAUUUCAGAUAAGUUGGUGGCAUAGUUUUCUUGUUCUUUUCUUAUAUUAAAAAAAUACUGAGUUAAUCACAAACUUUUUUCCUGAUAAUCAUAUUGUUCGUUAGGAUGUACUGAGUGAAAUCUGAAGAACACCAGAACAAGGCAUGAACUACAGUGUCAGAAAACAAAACCAUGGAAUGGAUCAAUCAUUUAAUCAAACUCAAACGCUUGUUAGACCUAGGAGGAACAUAAUUCCAACGCUGUGUAUACUUGAGUACUUAACCACCCAUCUAAAGGACCAAAAUAAAACGUAGUUGGACAAUUGGGUCUGCAUGCAUGACAAAAUCGAUUGAACUACUGUCAAGACCUGUCAGGGCCCAAGGGGGCUGCGGCAAGGAGCAUCAGCAAGGAGCCCAGGUCAAAGGAUAAGGAGAUUAAUUGAGAUUAUCUAGGAAAUUAGUUGAGAUUAUCUAGGAAGGUUAUUAGUUAGUAAUUUGUUGAGAGUUUUUUGGAGUUUUAAGGAGAUAAGCAUCUUUAGCUAGAUAGGGACGGCCAGCCGGCCAAUUUAUGUAAUUAAUGGAUAAGAAAUAAAAUAAGCAAGAUAUUAGAAGAAAAUCCCUUCUCUCUUGCCGGCCGUGGGCAAAGUCCUGCGGCCGGCCUCCCCAGCACCCCUAACCAUAGCCAUCGCCCUCUAACCCUCGCCGCCAUCUGCCGCUCUACAGACUUGGUUUAGUUAGUUUUCCAGUCCUUUUCUGAAAAGAUCUGAGAAUCCUACCAGGUAAACACCAUAUAUUGGGUGGUGUUAGAGUAUUAGGCCUGUUAAGGCUAGGCCCAUGUGACCCAUGUAAACACUAUAUAGCUACCCUGUUGGGUUAGCCCUAAUACAUAGAAUAUUCACUCCAAUAUGGUAUCAGCCCAGUUUCCCUCCCUACAGCCGCUGCUGCCCUACCCUAGGGUUUCAGCCGCCGCCGCCCUAUCCUAGGGUUUCAGCCGUCGCCGCCAGGCUCCAGCCUAGGGUUUCUGGCGCCGCCGGCCUCCAUCUGUCGCCCCUGCUGCCUGGCGCGGGGCCUCUGGCGGCCGCCGGCUGACUGGCGUUCUACGUCGCGCGCCCCUGCUGCACCGCCUGGCCGCGUCCAGCCGCGACCCAAUCACCGCCGUGCGCGUCCUCGGCCGCGCCGAGUCCGGCCGCGCCGCCCCGGGUUGUGCCGCCGCCGCCACUUCUUCCCCGGCGCCCAUGGCUGGUCAGCAGCGCCCCUCUCUCUCCACCUCCUCCUUCCCUCCCCUCUCCUCCUGGGUGCGCGCCGCCUCCCCUGGCCGGCGCGCCGUCGUGCCCCACCCCCUGCCAGCCGCCACUGCCUCCCCUGCUGGCGCGCCAUCCCUGGUGCCUGGCCCGUGGGGGUCGGAUCCUGUCUCCCCUGCCCUCCUGCCCGCGUGGGGGGCUGAGCCUAGCGCCGCCGGUGGGGCCCCCACUGCUGCAGGCGCCGCCUCGGCUCUUGCGGCCGUCGCGGAUGUGGUUCCGGCAGGAACUGCCGGUCUGGAGGAUCCCAACCCGCCACCGCCAAUCCCCCCGUCGCUGGUUGUCGAUCUGCCGCCUCCUCCGCCGGUCACCCACCAGGGAUACACUAUCGCCACCCUCACCGCUGCCCGUGCGGAGCAUGAUGCUCGACAGGCUCGCUUGCGGGAAGCGGCCCUCGCGUGGGAGCGCGAGCGCGAGGCCGCCGAUGCUAUCGCUGCUCAAAUUGCCGCGGCGGAACAACACCUCGCCUCGCCUGCGGCCCACGACGGCGGUGCCACCUCCUCCGACACCAUGGGCGGCGUGUAUGGCGUCCCGACCGCACCGACAGUCGGGACCGGGCCUCGCACCAUCCCCACGGUGCUCUGGCAUGACCCGGCUGACCUGCUCGUGGCUCAGCUCCACCUACAGGCUGGGAGUGUCCAGAACAUUCGCCUCAUGGUUCCGGUCGUCCUGGAGUCUGAGUCGCCAUCCUACACGCGCUGGCGGGACUUACUUCUCCUCACCCUUCGCCGCUACGCCCUAGAUGACCACGUCCUCUGCGACCCCACUGGCGUGGCGCCGACUGCUGCGUGGGUGCGCCUCGACAGCAUCGUUCUCACCUAGAUCGUGGGGACGAUCUCCGUCGACCUCCACAGCCUCCUCCGGAACCUUCCGCACGCUCGGGCUGCUUGGCUUGCCAUCGAGGGCCAGUUCCUGGGCAACGCCGAGGCCCGGGCUCUCCGUCUCGACGCAGCCUUCCGCACCUUCGUCCAGGGAGACCUCGGCAUCAGCGAGUACUGCCGCAAGAUGAAGACCAUGGCGGACUCACUUGGCGAUCUGGGCUGCCCCGUGGAGGACCGCAUCCUCGUCCUCAACGUCCUCCGCGGCCUCAACGAUCGCUACACCCACCUCCGGUCGUUGAUCAUGCGUCAGCGCCCCUUCCCUACCUUCCUCCAGGUCCGCGACGACCUCGCCCUGGAGGAGAUCACUCUGGGUGCUCAGGUUGCAUCGAUCUCCGGCCCGGGGUCCUCGUCCUCCUCGAUAGCACUGGCGGCCUUCACCCCGGCCCGUCCUCCUACUCUGUCACAGUCUGCCAUUGGCCCUCGUCCUCCCGGGCCGAGCAUGGGUGGUGGGGGUCGAGGUGGCGGAGGCGGGGGCGGUGGUGGUCGUCGCCGCCGUGGUGGCCGCAGUGGUGGUGAGGGUGGCUCCGGCGGUGGUGCCCGUGGCAACGCACCGAAGCCGGGACCCCCGCAGGGUGCGCCUUGGCCCACUUUUCACCACCCGUGGUCCGGUCGCAUCUCCAUGUGGCCGUUCCAGGGGCCCGGUUCUGACGCUCGUCCCCCGACGGUCAUGUUCGCUGGUGCGCAAUCGGGGUUCACCUCACCGUCGGGGUUCGCCCUCGCCUCUCCAUCGCCCUGGCCCUCGACGCCUGCCGUUUCGUCGUGGCCCACGUCGCCGGCUACGCCACCAUCCGGGCUGAUUGAUUGGGACGCGGCCGCCCUGGCUACUUUCCAGACUCCCACUCAGACUCCGCCGAUGGGUCCCGAGUGGAUUGCGGACACCGGUGCUACCUACCACACCACUCCCAACCCUGGUAUACUCACCUCUGUUCGCCCUCCUUCUUCCUCUCUCCCUUCAUCCAUCAUGGUGGCGAAUGGCUCGUGUCUUCCUGUCACAUCUGUGGGUGCCGCCGGCUCUCCCGGCUCUUUUCGCAUUCCCGAUGUUCUUGUCGCCCCUUCUUUGGUCCACAAUUUUCUUUCUAUUCGUCGGUUUACUGCUGAUAAUUCUUGUUCUGUCGAGUUUGACUCUUCUAGUCUUACUGUGAAGGACUCGGCAACUCGGCGCCCCCUCCUCCGAUGUGACAGCACGGGCCCCCUCUACACCCUUCGGCUUCGCACGCUACAUCUUCUUCGUCUUCGUCACCUGACACAGCUGUUGUUUUUGCCGCCACCACAUCUACUACUACCUGGCAUCGUCGCCUUGGACACCCCGGACGUGAUGCCUUUCUUCAGCUUACUCGUAGUGCCACUAUCCAAUGUACUCGAUCUCCUGAGGAGCAUCUAUGUCAUGCAUGCCAGUUAGGCCGCCAUGUUCGUCUUCCGUUUUCCUCUUCUUCCUCGCAUGAUACUCAUGUUUUUGAUCUUGUACACUGUGAUUUGUGGACUUCUCCCAUUACCAGUAUGUCGGGUUACAAAUACUAUCUUGUCGUGCUUGAUGAUUUUUCUCAUUAUGUGUGGACUUUCCCGCUGCGUGCCAAGUCUGAGACUUUCCCCACCCUCUGCCACUUCUUCGCCUGGGUGUCCACUCAGUUCGGCCUCACCAUUAAGGCCGUUCAGUGUGACAACAGUCGGGAGUUCGAUAACUCUGCCUCCCGUGACUUCUUUCUCUCCCACAGCAUGCUGUUACAGAUGUCUUGCCCAUAUACCUCCCCCCAGAAUGGCAAGGCUGAGCGCAUGAUCCGCACGACCAACGACACCAUCCGGACUCUUCUUCUCCAGGCGCACCUACCGCCACGUUUCUGGGUCGAGGCCCUACACACCUCUACCUACCUUCUCAACCGUCUACCUUCCACUGCGUGCCCGGCCCCCACUCCUCACUAGGCACUCUUCGGUACCCCUCCACGCUAUGACCACCUCCGUGUCUUCGGGUGUGCUUGCUAUCCGAACACUGCGGCCACUGCUCCUCACAAGCUAGCACCCCGCUCCACCCUCUGUGUGUUUCUCAGGUACUCCCCGGACCACAAGGGCUACCGCUGCUUUGACCUCUCCUCUCGUCGUGUUCUCAUCUCUCACAUGUGGUGUUUGAUGAGUCCGUUUUUCCCUACUCCACCACCACACCACCCUCCUCCGACCCUGACCCUGACCUCUUCACUCCCUUUCCGACUGACACGGUGGUCGAGCCACCUAUCCUUCCUCUCCCUGCAGGUACCCACUCACCACAUGUCGGUCCUACUUCCAGCCCGAUGCCUUGCCCGGGUCCGGUCGUGUAGCCUACGGCGGUGUCGCCUCUCCGCGGAGCCUUGUCUCCGAUCGCCCCCGGGCCGAGCGGGGGUGGUGGGACUGCACCGCCUGCAGAGCCGUCGGUUCCGACCCCUCUGGCCCGCUUCGCCCAGCCAGUGCGGGUCUACCAGCGCCAGCCGCCGCCGCCGGGGUUCGAACCUCCGCCACCGCCGUCGCUGCCCCGCCGCCGUCACCACCGGUGGCCCAGUCCCCGCCAGGGACACCUACACCUCCGCUGCGGCCUCCUGCGGCACGUGUCGAGACGCCGAUGUACCACCCAUCUCUCCUUCACCGCGACCCAUGGCAUGUCCACCCGAUGGUGACGCGGAACGCGGCUGGUACCCUGCCGCCUCGUGUCCUGGCGGCCACGUCCGGAGACUCGCAGGUUUCUCCGGUACCCUCCUCCGUCCGCACCGCCCUGCAGGACCCCCACUGGCGUCAGGCGAUGGAGGAGGAGUACACGGCGCUCAUCGCUAACCAGACGUGGGAUCUGGUGCCCCGUCCGCCCGGCACCAACGUCGUCACCAGCAAGUGGAUCUGGACACACAAGCGGCGGGCUGAUGGUACCCUAGAGCGGUACAAGGCUCGCUGGGUUCUUCGGGGCUUCACUCAGCGCCCCGGAGUCGACUACGAUGAGACCUUUAGCCCGGUUGUGAAGUCGGCCACCGUCCGCACGGUGCUCUCGCUGGCCCUCGCUCGCUCCUGGCCAGUUCACCAGCUCGACGUCAAGAAUGCCUUCCUACACGGUGCCCUCACUGAGACCGUAUAGUGUUGUCAGCCUGCGGGGUUCGUGGACUCCUCUCGCCCUGACAUGGUCUGUCGGCUCAACAGGUCCCUCUACGGUCUCAAGCAGGCCCCUCGGGCGUGGCACUCCAGGCUGGCUACGUUCCUGGUGACACUGGGCUUCGUGGAGGCCAAGUCAGACACGUCUCUGUUCGUCCACCAUCAUGGCGCAGAGACUGCCUACUUGCUACUCUACGUGGAUGACAUUGUCCUCACCGCCUCCAGUCCGUCACUUCUUUGCCGCUUCGUCGACGCCCUUCAGCGGGAGUUUCCGGUCAAAGAUCUGGGCGUGCUUCACCAUUUCCUGGGGGUCACUGCUGAGUCUCGCCCCUCAGGACUCCUCCUUCACCAGCGACAGUAUACUCUUGACAUUCUGGAGCGGGCCCAGAUGAGUGACUGCAAGCCCUGCUCCACCCCUGUCGACACGCAGGCCAAGCUCUCUGAGGCCACGGGUGACCUAGUCGUGGACCCCACAAACUACAGGAGUCUUGUCGGUGCCCUUCAGUACCUCACAUUCACCAGGCCGGACAUCUCCUAUGCCGUGCAGCAGGUCUGCCUCCAUAUGCACGACCCCUGGGAGCCCCACCUUGCGGCUCUCAAGCGCCUCCUCCGCUACCUCCGGGGCACCGUCGACUACGGGCUGCUUCUUCACCGGUCUACCUCCUCCGAGCUGGUCGUCUACACUGACGCUGACUGGGCCGGGUGCCCAGACACUCGGCGCUCCACCUCCGGCUACGCCGUCUUCUUAGGCGGCAACCUAGUUUCCUGGUCGUCGAAGCGCCAGUCGGUCGUUUCCCGCUCAAGUGCAGAGGCGGAGUACCGUGCCGUGGCCAACGGCGUGGCGGAAGCUGCCUGGCUCAGGCAGCUCCUCGCCGAGCUUCACAGUCCCCUCUCCAGGAGCACGUUGGUCUACUGCGACAACGUUAGCGCGGUUUACCUCUCCACCAACCCAGUGUAGCACCAGCGGACCAAGCAUGUAGAGAUCGAUCUACACUUCGUCCGCGAUUAUGUCACUGUCGGUGCUGUUCGGGUCCUCCACGUCCCGACCACCUCCCAGUUUGCUGACAUCUUCACCAAGGGUCUUCCGUCCUCGACCUUCGCCGAGUUUCGCUCCAGCCUCAACAUCAGUAGUGGCUAGUUGAGUCUGUGGGGGGAUCCUUUUGUGUGAUGUACUUCUUCCUUUUGAGUCCAGUCUGUGUACUCCGCUACAUCGAUAGUCUAGACUGCGGGGGGGGGGUGUUAGAGUAUUCCUAUUGUGUGAUGUACUUCUUCUUUUUGAGUCCAGUCUGUGUACUCCGCUGCGUCGGUAGUCCAGACUGCGGGGGGGUGUUAGAGUAUUAGGCCUGUUAAGGCUAGGCCCAUGUGGCCCAUGUAAACACUAUAUAGCUACCCUGUUGGGUUAGCCCUAAUACAUAGAAUAUUCACUCCAAUAGGUGGCAUAUACUUGACCUAGCAGUAAACCUGUAUGGAGUAUACAAAGACCUUACAUAGCUACUACACAGGCCCGGCCCUGAGGGUAGGCAGGGUAUGCCGCCGCUCAGGGCCCUCGAAGUCAGUAGGGCCCCUAGUCUGGCCUAAAUAAAUAUAUACUCUUAUAUACAUAUGUACUGUAUAUACUUAUUAUAUUCCAAAAAUCCCUAGCCACCACUCUUAUAUAUACGGCUGAAAGAAGCUUCUCAAAAUUAAAGUUACUGAAAAAUUAUUGAAGAUCAGCAAUGAGUCAAGAAAUGUUAGAACAAAUUUUAUAUACUUAUUCUAUUGGAUGAUAUCGAUAUCAAUAGUAUAAUCGAUGAUUUUGUAUCAAAAAAUGUUAGUAGAAAUUUUAUAAGAUGAGAAGUGACAAGUUAUAUGUAGUUUUUACCGAUAUAUGUUUAGUAGAUGUGUAAAUGAUACAUACAUAUAUAGUUAUAUGGGGGUCUAUAUAUAUUUUUUUUUGCUUAGGGCCCCCGAAAUGUGAGGACCGGCCCUACUACUACAGAGAAUAUCAAUACCGUGAUAUUUGGAUCAAAUGUUGUUGUAUAUUACUUGAACAGUGAGGUAACAUUGUCAGCGUAAUUGUUAGGGUUUCCAUGUAUACCCCUAUUGUAAUGGGCUUCGGCCCACAUAAUUCAUCUAUUAAUACAUGCUCAACUCUAAGUAGGGUUAGGGUUUUCUCCCACUCCAACACGGUAUCUAGCUAAGUCUCUCUUCCCCCACCCUCUCUCUCUCCCCUCCACCCAGCCACCACCAGCCUCACCCCCGAUCACGGCCAGCCCCAACCUCCCCUGUGCCUGCCUCCCCCGCCACCAACCCCAUGGCCGGCGGGCGUACCCCUCAUUUCCCCACCGCCGCUGGCGACCUUCCUCUUCUCUCGAACGUCGACACCCAUGUCCCCAUGGAUGUCGCCGCCUCCCCCACACGUGGGCACUGCUCUCACCGACCUCGUCGGCCCCGCUACAAGCACGGUGGGCACCGCUGCAUCCCCCAUCCGUGCCCCAACCGUCGCCAGCACAGCUCCCCGCACCUUUGUCGCCCUACACCCAGCCGGCUGGCCAGCACGUCUUCAGUGCCGCCCUCGCUGGUGCACUCAUCGACCAUGUCCUCAACGACACUAUCGCAUCAAUGUCUCCAUUCUGGCACCAAAUGGACAGCGAUGUCCUCUCAUAGCUCAUUGGCAUACUCACCGUCGAGCUCUAGGACAUCGUCAGCAAGCGAGAGGCACCACUCACCAAGCCUGGGUCGCCCUCGAGGCCGAGUUUCUCGGCAACCGAGAGACCCGCUCUCUCCACCUCAACACAUCCUUCCGCAUUUACUCUCAGGAGGACCUCUCUGUCAGCGAGUACUGCCAUCGGAUGAAGGACAUGGCAUACUCCCUCCGCAAUCUCGGUGAGCCUGUCCUCGACCGCACCCUCGUCCUCAACCUUCUGUGUGGCCUCAGCCGACGCUACAACCACCAAAGGGCCUUCAUCAAGCAGACUGCACCAUUCCCCUCCUUGCACCAUGGACGUUAAGCCACCCGCGACCACCACAGCGCUCUACAACGCAUCCCCCGGCGGCCCCGGUGGCCUAGGCCCUCACCCUCCGUCGACGGGGAACCUGCGCGUCCUCCCACCGCCCCUUAGAGCUCCUCGUCAGUCCCCUGGAUCUGAGUCACUGAUGGUGGUCGCCGGCCCUGCAAGAAUGCCUAUGGAGGCGGGGACUCUACCCAUGGUGGCCCUACCAAUCGUGGCGGCGACCCGGCGUGGCCUUCGUUCUACAACCCCUAGACCGAGACCAGCUCCAUGUGGCCGGGCCCGGCAAUAGGUGCCUCUUCGCCGUGUCCCUCACAUCUGGCUCACCUGACGACGCCACCCUACGGUGCCCCUGCCUUCGGCGACGCCGUCUCCGCCUUUCCUUUCGCCUCCAGGGACCCCUACCUCAACACCUUGGUCCCCGUUGGCUAGAGGCUGGGACCAAAUCUCCCUCGCCGCCUCGUUCGGUACCGUGGCGCUGACUCCUCUCUUCACCGACUAGGUGGUCAACUCCGACGCCUCCGACCACACCACUCCUACUGCCAGCACGUUAUCUCGCUCCCAUCCCCCCAUGGCCCCAUCCCUCCCAUCAUUCCUCUAUCAUUGUGGUGAAUAGUUCCACCCUCUCGGUCACCUCAGUAUGUGACUCGAUUCUUCCGGGACUGUUAUAUCUCAACGGCGUUCUCGUUGCCCCUUAUAUCAUGCAAAACCUUCUUUCAGUUCGUCGAUUCACCACCGACAACUCAUGUUCCAUUGAGUUUGACCCAUUUGGUUUAUUUGUGAAGGAUCUGGCUACCAGAACCCUUCUCGCCCGAUGUGACAGCUCGGGGCUGCUGUAUACGGUCCGCCAUCCACCUCCUCCGCUGGCGCAUCCUCGUCAUCUGCUUUGGCUUCUACCACCACUUGGCAUCGUCGUCUCGGGCACCCUGGACCCGACGUCAUGUCCAAGCUCUCUAGUCGUUUAGAUAUAUCUUGUAGCAAGGUCCAUUUUGAUAGUCUUUGCCAUGCUUGUCAGCUAGGUCGCCAUGCUCGUCUUCCUUUCUCUACUUCCACUUCUCGGGUAGAUCAGGCCUUUGAUCUUGUACACUGUGAUCUUUGGACGUCGCCCACACAAACUUCGCCAGCGCCACCAGUAUGUUCGGUGUCAGCCGAUGCAGUUGAACACCGAACGCUCUAAGACCUCCAUGAGAAACCGAUGGCAGGGCGGUCGAGGUCCAACGUCGAAAGAUGCUACGAAGACCACGAUUUCCUCCUUGGGGUUAGGUGACGUCUCCGAUCCAGGAACACGACCAAUCAUCGCCCCGAAAAAACCCAAUUUUUGGAAUUUGAGAGCACCUAGAGGGGGGUGAAUAGUUGAUGCCUGCAAAACACAACUUCAAACACAAACUUGGCCCAAAUAAAUGGUUGGAUCAAAAUUAAGCCAAGUUGGAGUGAGAAGAAGAGAGAAAGUCAUCUUGAUUGCUCUUUCAAGAUAUGGAAUAGACUAAGGCCCGUUUGUUUCCCUUCAUUUUGAGGAAUUGGAAUCUAACUAAUAGAGUAGGCUAUUUUUUUAGAAUAUGACAUUCCACAACUUUCCAAAGUUUAUAUAUAAGUCUAUCUCAAAUUCAUGGGGCGAGAGAUGGAAAUUGAUUUUAUAGAUUUACAUGCUACUUUUCUAAUGUAGAACUUAUAGCACACUCUUCCACUUGCUUCUCUAUAGCAUAAGUGUAGUGUAUAACUAUCUCUCUCAUAUGAUUUAGGAUAAUAUACAAAUAAAUUAAGUUAAUUAGUUUAUGUCUAAAUUAUGAUUAUUAGAAUGUAAUUCAAUUCCAACGAAACAAACGGGCCAUAAGAGCAAUAUUGCAAGUGAAUUUGGAGAACUCAAAUUCAAACGGUGUCAGUAGCCAUUUCUUGUAAUGACGCUCGACCCGGGGACGUCGUCCACGACCCGGAUACACAGGGUCAUUUUCGUUAACACCAUGAUAAAAUCUCUCACAGGUAGUGUACCACUUUACUAGACCAUAUCAAUCCAGGAACUUUAUGACUAUGGGUGGGGGAUGGAAAUUAAUUUUAUAUAUCACCAGACUAUGUUUCUACUCUACAACUUAUAACUUGCUCUUCGGCUGGCUCCGCUGUACUAGAAAUGUAGCACAUAAAUAUCUCUCUCAUAUGACCAAUAGUAGUAUACAAAUAUACUCUGCAUAAAAUCAUAUUAGAGCCUAUUUGGAUUCCAUGAAUUAAAACCAAUAUCUAGAAAGUGUUUCCAAUUUUAUUAUUAGAUUAUUUUCCAAUUCCUUGGAAUCAAAAAAGAGUCUUAGCUUAAUUAAUAUGUGCCUAAAUUAUGAUUCUUAUAAUGGAAUUCAAUUUCAAGUAUCCAAACCGGGCCUAAGUGAAAAACGUACUUCAGCUAUCCCAGCGGCUCCCCUCAUCCCCUAUCCAAUACUCUAUUUUAAACUUCAUUCUUCAAACAGCACAAUCUCCCCUAUUUUACGCGGUCGACCGAAGACAACCUUAAGCAUUGUUGUGAACAAAAAUAAACUGGCGUGGCUGUAAAAUUUCAGGGUCAAUUACUGGCACAGGCACACAAAAACAGUUAUUACGCGCCGAGCCAAUCCUGAGCCCACCACAAAGCUAAGCCAAAGUCAUGCAUCAAUCAACGCAACAAGUGGUGAACCGCAUGAUGACCAGAGGCGGGCGAUGUAAUCACAGCCGGAUACGAAUGUCACAAUGCGCUCACAAAAUCAGCGCCGCGCAAUCAUCGGGAGCUGUAAGCUUCACGCACUCGGCCGGAGACGAAAGCUGAGGAGGGGAUGGAAUGGAACGCACCAGGGAUCGAAGGGAGGAAGUACCAGUCCCGCCCCUAACGGCAGCGGCCGCUAAUGGGGCUCCUCCUCACAAGCCGGGGGAUCCCCUCCUCGCCAGCCCCUCCGGAUCGAACCGCGCGGGAUCCGGGAAAGAGUGGGUGUGGGACUGUGGGUGCAGCGUCUGAGCGAGGGCUUGGAGAGUUCGCUGCUCGCCUGCGGCCUGCGCGCGCGCGCCGGCCGUGGGAUUGGAUUGAGGGGAGCAGCACACAAGCACCACGCGAUGGGCUUUCGUGGUUCGGCAAGUCCUCGGCGGAAAGGCCUGGCCUGGUUGGUGGCAGGUCAUCC
This 12574-nucleotide long non-coding RNA is filed under the name Zea mays. Its description in RNAcentral is "long non-coding RNA (ZMAY_LNC002953)". The record is from RNAcentral. Lineage: Eukaryota; Viridiplantae; Streptophyta; Magnoliopsida; Poales; Poaceae.